CGAGCGGAUGAAGGGAGCUUGCUCCUGGAUUCAGCGGCGGACGGGUGAGUAAUGCCUAGGAAUCUGCCUGGUAGUGGGGGAUAACGUCCGGAAACGGGCGCUAAUACCGCAUACGUCCUGAGGGAGAAAGUGGGGGAUCUUCGGACCUCACGCUAUCAGAUGAGCCUAGGUCGGAUUAGCUAGUUGGUGGGGUAAAGGCCUACCAAGGCGACGAUCCGUAACUGGUCUGAGAGGAUGAUCAGUCACACUGGAACUGAGACACGGUCCAGACUCCUACGGGAGGCAGCAGUGGGGAAUAUUGGACAAUGGGCGAAAGCCUGAUCCAGCCAUGCCGCGUGUGUGAAGAAGGUCUUCGGAUUGUAAAGCACUUUAAGUUGGGAGGAAGGGCAGUAAGUUAAUACCUUGCUGUUUUGACGUUACCAACAGAAUAAGCACCGGCUAACUUCGUGCCAGCAGCCGCGGUAAUACGAAGGGUGCAAGCGUUAAUCGGAAUUACUGGGCGUAAAGCGCGCGUAGGUGGUUCAGCAAGUUGGAUGUGAAAUCCCCGGGCUCAACCUGGGAACUGCAUCCAAAACUACUGAGCUAGAGUACGGUAGAGGGUGGUGGAAUUUCCUGUGUAGCGGUGAAAUGCGUAGAUAUAGGAAG
RNAcentral lists this ribosomal RNA (645 nucleotides) under uncultured Pseudomonas sp. RNAcentral's name for it is "bacterial SSU rRNA". It matches the Rfam family "Bacterial small subunit ribosomal RNA", at positions 63 to 703 of the family's 1533-position model. Lineage: Bacteria; Pseudomonadati; Pseudomonadota; Gammaproteobacteria; Pseudomonadales; Pseudomonadaceae. The record is from RNAcentral.